CGGAGGGUGCGAGCGUUAAUCGGAAUUACUGGGCGUAAAGCGCGCGUAGGCGGUUUGUUAAGUCAGCUGUGAAAGCCCCGGGCUUAACCUGGGAACUGCAGUUGAUACUGGCCGACUAGAGUACGAGAGAGGGAGGUAGAAUUCCAUGUGUAGCGGUGAAAUGCGUAGAUAUAUGGAGGAAUACCGGUGGCGAAGGCGGCCUCCUGGCUCGAUACUGACGCUGAGGUGCGAAAGCGUGGGGAUCAAACAGGAUU
RNAcentral lists this ribosomal RNA (254 nucleotides) under uncultured bacterium. RNAcentral's name for it is "partial 16S ribosomal RNA". It matches the Rfam family "Bacterial small subunit ribosomal RNA", at positions 526 to 779 of the family's 1533-position model. The record is from RNAcentral.